UCCGUAGCUCAGUGGUUAGAGCAUCCGACCGGUGUACGGAAGGUCAUCGGUUCAAAUCGACGCUCGUAACAA
This is a non-coding RNA of Desmophyllum pertusum, 72 nucleotides long. The record is from the annotation of a GenBank genome assembly. Lineage: Eukaryota; Metazoa; Cnidaria; Anthozoa; Scleractinia; Caryophylliidae.